GAGUCCUCCCUCCCAAGCGGAAUACCAACGUUGGCAACCGGGCCUAGGAGGAGCGCGUUCCUCCCCCGAGCGAGUCCCGGGCGCACUUCUCGAGGGUGAGCCGAGGUCGAAACAGGCGUGAUGAGGUAUCUCUGACGACGGCAAGGAAGUGAGGGAGAGCGUGAGGAGGAGAGAGAAGAGAGAAGAGAAGAGAGAAGUGCGCCGAGGAAGAGCGAGAAGCCCCCGCAUACGAGAGCGCGAGAGGGAGGAGGAGGACGCCAGCAGUUGCGGUCAGGGAGGAGCGGCUGCGGCUGCGGGAAGACAAGGCAGCGAGGAGAGGAAGGAGGCGGCGGCGACGGCGGUGGUGUGUGCGUGCGUGCGUGCGAGUGAGCGAGCGCGCGCGCGUCUGCCUGCCCCACCAAGUCCUCUUCGUUUUUUUUCGACGUCCUGCUCUGUCAUGAGUCCAGCUCGCUAACGACGUAGCACAUGAGUGACGUUGACCAAAGCCUGCGUCAGCUCCUGGCUUCCUACGACUCUGCAGCGGCCAGACCCAAGCAGCCCCAGAACCAAAG
This is a non-coding RNA of Penaeus vannamei (Pacific white shrimp), 551 nucleotides long. Lineage: Eukaryota; Metazoa; Arthropoda; Malacostraca; Decapoda; Penaeidae. The record is from RefSeq and is a predicted model, not a curated record.